RNAcentral lists this ribosomal RNA (478 nucleotides) under uncultured bacterium. RNAcentral's name for it is "partial 16S ribosomal RNA". It matches the Rfam family "Bacterial small subunit ribosomal RNA", at positions 28 to 523 of the family's 1533-position model. The record is from RNAcentral.
GACGAACGCUGGCGGCGUGCUUAACACAUGCAUGUCGAACGGUAAGGCCCUUCGGGGUACACGAGUGGCGAACAGGUGAGUAACACGUGGGUGAUCUGCCCUGCACUUCGGGAUAAGCCUGGGAAACUGGGUCUAAUACCGGAUAGGACCACUGCCUACAUGGGUGGUGGUGGAAAGCUUUUGCGGUGUGGGAUGGGCCCGCGGCCUAUCAGCUUGUUAGUGGGGUGAUGGCCUACCAAGGCAACGACGGGUAGCCGGCCUGAGAGGGUGACCGGCCACACUGGGACUGAGAUACGGCCCAGACUCCUACGGGAGGCAGCAGUGGGGAAUAUUGCACAAUGGGCGCAAGCCUGAUGCAGCGACGCCGCGUGAGGGAUGACGGCCUUCGGGUUGUAAACCUCUUUCAGCACCGACGAAGCGCAAGUGACGGUAGGUGCAGAAGAAGGACCGACCAACUACGUGCCAGCCGCCGCCGUAA